Molecule: ribosomal RNA, 560 nt
Filed under: Kocuria palustris
Lineage: Bacteria; Bacillati; Actinomycetota; Actinomycetes; Micrococcales; Micrococcaceae
Description: bacterial SSU rRNA
Rfam family: Bacterial small subunit ribosomal RNA
Source: RNAcentral
CCAAGGCUUGACAUAUACCGAAUCGUUCCAGAGAUGGUUCUUCCCCUUUGGGGUCGGUAUACAGGUGGUGCAUGGUUGUCGUCAGCUCGUGUCGUGAGAUGUUGGGUUAAGUCCCGCAACGAGCGCAACCCUCGUUCCAUGUUGCCAGCACGUGAUGGUGGGGACUCAUGGGAGACUGCCGGGGUCAACUCGGAGGAAGGUGGGGAUGACGUCAAAUCAUCAUGCCCCUUAUGUCUUGGGCUUCACGCAUGCUACAAUGGCCGGUACAAAGGGUUGCGAUACUGUGAGGUGGAGCUAAUCCCAAAAAGCCGGUCUCAGUUCGGAUUGAGGUCUGCAACUCGACCUCAUGAAGUCGGAGUCGCUAGUAAUCGCAGAUCAGCAACGCUGCGGUGAAUACGUUCCCGGGCCUUGUACACACCGCCCGUCAAGUCACGAAAGUCGGUAACACCCGAAGCCGGUGGCCCAACCCUUUGGAGGGAGCCGUCGAAGGUGGGACUGGCGAUUGGGACUAAGUCGUAACAAGGUAGCCAUACCGGAAGGUGCGGCUGGAUCACCUCCUU